This 428-nucleotide ribosomal RNA is filed under the name uncultured prokaryote. RNAcentral's name for it is "bacterial SSU rRNA". It matches the Rfam family "Bacterial small subunit ribosomal RNA", at positions 355 to 774 of the family's 1533-position model. The record is from RNAcentral.
UCGAGAAUCUUUCGCAAUGGGGGAAACCCUGACGAAGCGACGCCGCGUGCAGGAUGAAGGUCUUCGGAUUGUAAACUGCUGUCGGCUGGGAAGAAAAAGCUGUCAUUCAACAAAUGACAGCCCUGACGGUACCAGCAAAGGAAGCCACAGCUAACUCUGUGCCAGCAGCCGCGGUAAUACAGAGGUGGCUAGCGUUGUUCGGAUUUAUUGGGCGUAAAGGGUCCGUAGGCGGCCUGAAAAGUCGGAUGUGAAAGCCCACAGCUUAACUGUGGAAUGGCAUUCGAAACUUUCAGGCUCGAGUGUGAAAGGGGUAAAGGGAAUUCCCGGUGUAAGGGUGAAAUCUGUAGAGAUCGGGAAGAACACCAGUCGCGAAGGCGCUUUACUGGUUCACAACUGACGCUGAGGGACGAAAGCUAGGGGAGCAAACG